UUUCUUAGGUCACGUAGGCCUUUUUUCGUAGAGAUUCGAAAUUUAUACAACACUGUAUGCUAGAAACUCUACAAUAGCUCGACUAAUUGAUAGACAAUUAGCAGGUAACCUAAUUUAUUAUAAAACUAAUUUAUUAGAAACCUCAGAGACUAUACGUGUUGCAACUUAUUAAGUUGAAGAAAUAGUCCAAAUAACAUAGAAAUAUGUUA
Chaetomium globosum CBS 148.51 is the source of this 209-nucleotide non-coding RNA. The record is from Rfam. Lineage: Eukaryota; Fungi; Ascomycota; Sordariomycetes; Sordariales; Chaetomiaceae.